Molecule: ribosomal RNA, 2127 nt
Filed under: Floccifex porci
Lineage: Bacteria; Bacillati; Bacillota; Erysipelotrichia; Erysipelotrichales; Erysipelotrichaceae
Description: Erysipelotrichaceae bacterium LKV-178-WT-2G partial 23S ribosomal RNA
Rfam family: Bacterial large subunit ribosomal RNA
Source: RNAcentral
UGAUUAAGUAAGGAAGGGCGUACGGAGGAUGCCUUGCCACUCGAAAGUGAAGAAGGACGUGCCAAACUGCGAAAAGCUGCGGGGAGCUGUCAAGGGAGCGAAGAGCCGCAGAUGUCCGAAUGGGGGAACCCGGCAGGAGAAGAAGCCUGCCAUCCAGCGAUGAAUCCAUAGUUGCUGGAGAGCUACCCGGGGAACUGAAACAUCUAAGUACCCGGAGGAGAAGAAAACAACAGUGAUUUCCUGAGUAGCGGCGAGCGAAAGGGAAGGAGCCCAAACCGCAUUAAGGAGCGGGGUUGAAGGACCACGGAAAGGAAAGAGAAGGAUAGACGAACGCGAUCGAAAGCGCGGCCGAAGAGGGUGCAAGCCCUGUAGUCGAAAUCCGGAACGAGUACCGGUGGGAUCCUGAGUACGGCGAGACACGAGGAAUCUUGUCGGAAGCAGGCGGGACCAUCCGCCAAGGCUAAAUAUAAGCGAGUGAGCGAUAGAGGACCAGUACCGUGAGGGAAAGGUGAAAAGAACCGCGGGAGCGGAGUGAAAUAGAACCUGAAACCGUAUGCCUACAAGAAGUCAGAGCCCGUUAAAGGGUGAUGGCGUGCCUUUUGUAGAAUGAACCGGCGAGUUGCGGAUAGAUGCGAGGUUAAGCGGGAAAGCGCGGAGCCGAAGCGAAAGCGAGUCUUAAGAGGGCGGAAGUAUAUAUCUGCAGACCCGAAACCGGGUGAUCUAGCCAUGAGCAGGUUGAAGUUGAGGUGAAGCUCAAUGGAGGACCGAACCGACCACCGUUGAAAAGUUGGCGGAUGACUUGUGGCUAGCGGAGAAAUUCCAAUCGAACCCGGAGAUAGCUGGUUCUCCCCGAAAUAGCUUUAGGGCUAGCGUCGGAAGGAAGCGACAGGAAGGUAGAGCACUGAAUGUGUGAUGGCCCCAUCCCGGGGUACUGAAUACAAUCAAACUCCGAAUGUUCUGAAGCGUAUCCGGCAGUCAGACUGUGGGUGAUAAGGUCCAUGGUCGAAAGGGAAACAGCCCAGACCGCCAGUUAAGGUCCCAAAAUGCAGGCUAAGUGGAAAAGGAUGUGGGGAUGCCCAGACAACUAGGAGGUUGGCUCAGAAGCAGCCAUCCUUUAAAGAGUGCGUAACAGCUCACUAGUCGAGUGACCCUGCGCCGAAAAUGUACCGGGGCUAAGCCUGAUACCGAAACUGCGGAUUUAGGAAACUAAGUGGUAGGGGAGCGUUGUAUGCGGAUAGAAGCCAUACCGUGAGGAGUGGUGGACUGCAUAGAAGUGAGAAUGCCGGUGUGAGUAGCGAGAUGUAGGUGGGAAUCCUACACACCGAAAGCCCAAGGAUUCCAGGGGAAGGUUCGUCCGCCCUGGGUAAGUCGGGACCUAACGCGAGGCCGAAAGGCGUAGCGGAUGGAAAGCAGGCGCAUAUUCCUGCACCCGCGCAUGGAGUGAAGGAGUGACGGAGACGGCUAGUAUGACCCUCUUAAUGGAUUGAGGGCGAAGCGAGGUAGCGGAUGCACAGGCAAAUCCGUGCAUCAGGAACGUGAAGACGUGACAGGUAAGCGAAAUCCAAGGAAAGUAGCGAAGCAUAUGAGGCCGGCUUCCAGGAAAAGCUUCUGGCAAUGCAUGAGCGGCCCGUACCAAAACCGACACAGGUGGGCAGGUAGAGAAUACCAAGGUGAGCGAGAGAACUGUUGCCAAGGAACUCGGCAAAAUAGCUCCGUAAGUUCGCAAGAAGGAGCGCUUCGAAAGAAGCCGCAGUGAAGAGGCCCAAGCGACUGUUUAACUAAAACACAGCUCUCUGCGAAGUCGCAAGACGAAGUAUAGGGGGUGACACCUGCCCGGUGCUGGAAGGUUAAGGGGAUCUGUCAGAUGAUAUCAAAGCAGUGAACCGAAGCCCCAGUGAACGGCGGCCGUAACUAUAACGGUCCUAAGGUAGCGAAAUUCCUUGUCAGGUAAGUUCUGACCCGCACGAAAGGUGUAACGAUUUGGGCGCUGUCUCGGCAGCAGGCUCGGUGAAAUCUUAGUACCUGUGAAAAUGCAGGUUACCCGCAACUAGACGGAAAGACCCCAUGGAGCUUUACUGCAGCUUAGUAUUGGAUUUCGGUCAUACAUGUACAGGAUAGGUGGGAGAC